RNAcentral lists this ribosomal RNA (497 nucleotides) under uncultured bacterium. RNAcentral's name for it is "partial 16S ribosomal RNA". It matches the Rfam family "Bacterial small subunit ribosomal RNA", at positions 28 to 507 of the family's 1533-position model. The record is from RNAcentral.
GAUGAACGCUGGCGGCGUGCCUAAUACAUGCAAGUCGAGCGAACAGACGAGGAGCUUGCUCCUCUGACGUUAGCGGCGGACGGGUGAGUAACACGUGGAUAACCUACCUAUAAGACUGGGAUAACUUCGGGAAACCGGAGCUAAUACCGGAUAAUAUAUUGAACCGCAUGGUUCAAUAGUGAAAGACGGUUUUGCUGUCACUUAUAGAUGGAUCCGCGCCGCAUUAGCUAGUUGGUAAGGUAACGGCUUACCAAGGCAACGAUGCGUAGCUGACCUGAGAGGGUGAUCGGCCACACUGGAACUGAGACACGGUCCAGACUCCUACGGGAGGCAGCAGUAGGGAAUCUUCCGCAAUGGGCGAAAGCCUGACGGAGCAACGCCGCGUGAGUGAUGAAGGUCUUCGGAUCGUAAAACUCUGUUAUUAGGGAAGAACAAAUGUGUAAGUAACUAUGCACGUCUUGACGGUACCUAAUCAGAAAGCCACGGCUAACUACGUA